Molecule: long non-coding RNA, 258 nt
Filed under: Lathyrus oleraceus (garden pea)
Lineage: Eukaryota; Viridiplantae; Streptophyta; Magnoliopsida; Fabales; Fabaceae
Description: Pisum sativum (pea) long non-coding RNA (PSAT_LNC024643)
Source: RNAcentral
GUGUUGAUCAUGUUGUGUGUUCUGUUUAGCCAUGAUUUUUCUUGAGAUUAAUUGAACCAUUUUGGAAUUAAUGUGCAUUUGUUCAUUCUGUUGCUUCAAUGUGCUUCCAACUUGCAUACCUUGCCUUAUUUGGAUUGUGUUCUUAAUUGAUUAAGGUUGAUUCAUGUUGAAUUUCAUGUUCUAUUUUGGAUUAUUUAUCCAUCUUUGACCCUAGGCCUUGCCCUAGUGGUUUGUUGCUUAUGUUUGAGCUUUGUUUUC